Molecule: long non-coding RNA, 608 nt
Filed under: Felis catus (domestic cat)
Lineage: Eukaryota; Metazoa; Chordata; Mammalia; Carnivora; Felidae
Description: lncRNA (ENSFCAG00000051561.1)
Source: RNAcentral
CAGUUAUCUAAUUGUCUACGGAUCAGUGGGGUGGCUGGCACUGGCUUUGGAGUCAGGUGGGUGUAUGUUCCAAUCCUCGCUCUGUCCCCCGCAGGCUACAGGACCUUGGACAGUAGACUUAACCAUUCUGAACCUCCGUAUCCACAUCUGCAAAAUGGGAGAGUUCUAGAACCCACCUCAUACAAUUGUUGCUAGGAUCGAUUAUCCUAACAACGUGUCCUGAGUGACGUCAACGGGCCAGGCGUUGUUCUAGGGUUCUGGAGACACGACAGCAGCCCACACAGGCAACACUCCUGCCCUCUCCGGACAUACUCCAGUGGGUGUGGGCAAAGUUCUCGGCAUGAGCUGUCCACAGGCGUCUUCCUCCCCCGUGUCACAGACAGGGACCGUGAGGCUCGGACAGCAAGUUUCCAGAGACUUCUGACCUCUUCUUGCCAUGUUGCCUUUUCUACUGUACGGCUGGACCAUCCACUUGCAUCGGGGAGGAACGUGUUUGGCUGCAGGUAACAGAACAGCCAGCCCCCGUGGCUUAGAUCAGGGAUUUCAAAACUAAUGGAUAAAUAGUCCAAGGCAAUUUCAGUGGCUCACUGAUCCGGUCUCUUCCACUU